Molecule: long non-coding RNA, 1709 nt
Filed under: Musa acuminata (dwarf banana)
Lineage: Eukaryota; Viridiplantae; Streptophyta; Magnoliopsida; Zingiberales; Musaceae
Description: long non-coding RNA (MACU_LNC004760)
Source: RNAcentral
AAAAAUACAUUGUGAUUAUGGGGAACGGUAUAAAAUGCAAGAGGGUUCAAACCAUAAAAUCAACAUUUUUGAGAGGUAUAAAGCAAGAAAAUGUCAUCCAAAUCAUAAUCAAGAACCUUAGAGAAAAUGUGGUACGAGGUAGUUAACCUGGCUAUGGUGGACCACCAGAAUUAAGACUUAAUUAACCACUUCCUCUGAUGUAGAGUCUUUUUCUUUAGAAAAACAUAUUCUCUUUUAUCCUAUCCAAAGCUUUUCAAAGAAAAUGAUUGGUGCAAGGUUCAACAUAUUGCCCUAAUUGGUCUGUACCAGAUGGUAUUUACUGGUCCAAUGAAAAAUGAAGGGUGGAUUGCCACCUUUUAGGCAGUUCGGGACCUAUAUAGGGGUAACCCGGUAAUCUAUUAAAACCUGGCUUACUGUCUGAUUCAAAAUAGUUAAUUCGGUCCAAGUAUUUAGGGUUAACCCCCCUUCCUACAAUGGCCCCACUCUCGUAUUUGCCUCCCUCAAUCCACUCAUCACCACAAGGUACUCCUCUCCUCAUUGGCCUCCUGACCUCCUCUCAUCUUCUCCUCUUCCCCCUCUUAUUUUCCUUCUCCCCUUUCUCUGUUUCUUCUCCUUCUCAUCCUUCCCCUCUUUUGGUACUAUGGUACAUACCGAUGUAUAGUAUGUCAGUAUGCCAGUACAUACCUGACCCGUAGCAAUACAACCAGGGACUCACACGGGCCCGGUAUCCUAGAUCUAGACCCAUGCAUGAUUAAAAAUGUCAUAAAUCGAUCCGUAACAUGCAGUAUUACUAGUCCGAGGCUAAACUGGCAUGCAGAACAGGGUUUUUCACCCAGUUCCAUCUGCUAUCCAGGUUAUUGCCCCAGUCCGGUUCAGUAUCAACAUCAUAAAUCGAUACGUAACAUGCAGUAUUACUAGUCUGAGGCUAAACUGACACGCAGAACAGGGUUUUUCACCCAGUUCCAUCUGCUAUCCAGGUUAUUGCCCCAGUCAGGUUACCACUCAGUAAUCUGCAUGAACAAAGUGGUAAACUCACCCAAAGGACGCUUGAACCAAGUUUGAUAGUUGUCGCUAUCUUUUAGGUAAGAUCUCUCAUUCACUCAGUGCUAUCUUGUCGCCCCCUACUCACUACAUCCCACCUGCUCAAUAUAUCUCUGUGUCUCCUAAUCCUCCUACUCUUUUUCUUUUCCUCUCCCCAUAUCACUGUCAACCAAUAUACUGAUGUACCAUGUAUCAUUAUAUUGGCACGUACCAGAUCCAUAUUGGUCCAUCCAAGGAUGGGUAUGGGUCUGAUAACCAAAAUUUUAAGUCAUGUUAUGUUUUACACUAUACUAGCUGAUCAAAGAUCAGAUACAUUGAUUUUUGGACCAAUCUUAAAUCAGGUCAGCCAAUCCAAAUCAAGAUCAUUUGAUUUUAAAAUGAUAGCUAGAUGACUAGUCACACCAUAAAACAGAAUAAUUCAAUCGGAUUUGACAGUAAGGUUACCCGUGUGGUCUAACCUGAGGGGUAGAGGGACCAUGGUGAUAUUGAAUUGAAAGUAUUAAGAAUCAAAUUGACUAAAUAUUAGUCGAUGGAUAAAAUCAAAACAUUGACCCAAACUUCAGGGACCCUGUUGUCAUUGUUCCAAAUAUUAAUAGACAACAUAAUGAGCAAACUACAGCUUAAUAGGAACAAUUUUUCUAUAUUUGAAAAGUUCAUAUCAGUAAUAU